AUUGAACGCUGGCGGCAGGCCUAACACAUGCAAGUCGAGCGGAUGAAGGGAGCUUGCUCCUGGAUUCAGCGGCGGACGGGUGAGUAAUGCCUAGGAAUCUGCCUGGUAGUGGGGGAUAACGUCCGGAAACGGGCGCUAAUACCGCAUACGUCCUGAGGGAGAAAGUGGGGGAUCUUCGGACCUCACGCUAUCAGAUGAGCCUAGGUCGGAUUAGCUAGUUGGUGGGGUAAAGGCCUACCAAGGCGACGAUCCGUAACUGGUCUGAGAGGAUGAUCAGUCACACUGGAACUGAGAGACGGUCCAGACUCCUACGGGAGGCAGCAGUGGGGAAUAUUGGACAAUGGGCGAAAGCCUGAUCCAGCCAUGCCGCGUGUGUGAAGAAGGUCUUCGGAUUGUAAAGCACUUUAAGUUGGGAGGAAGGGCAGUAAGUUAAUACCUUGCUGUUUUGACGGUACCAACAGAAUAAGCACCGGCUAACUUCGUG
RNAcentral lists this ribosomal RNA (484 nucleotides) under uncultured bacterium. RNAcentral describes it as "partial 16S ribosomal RNA". It matches the Rfam family "Bacterial small subunit ribosomal RNA", at positions 30 to 507 of the family's 1533-position model. The record is from RNAcentral.